UACAGAGGUCUCAAGCGUUGUUCGGAUUCAUUGGGCGUAAAGGGUGCGUAGGUGGCGCGUUAAGUCAGGUGUGAAAUUUCGGAGCUUAACUCCGAAACUGCAUUUGAUACUGGCGUGCUUGAGGACUGGAGAGGAGACUGGAAUUUACGGUGUAGCGGUGAAAUGCGUAGAUAUCGUAAGGAAGACCAGUGGCGAAGGCGGGUCUCUGGACAGUUCCUGACGCUGAGGCACGAAGGUCAGGGGAGCAAACGGG
Molecule: ribosomal RNA, 253 nt
Filed under: uncultured bacterium
Lineage: Bacteria
Description: partial 16S ribosomal RNA
Rfam family: Bacterial small subunit ribosomal RNA
Source: RNAcentral